This 69-nucleotide microRNA precursor is filed under the name Ascaris suum (pig roundworm). Its description in RNAcentral is "Asu-Mir-36-o31_pre stem-loop". The record is from RNAcentral. Lineage: Eukaryota; Metazoa; Nematoda; Chromadorea; Rhabditida; Ascarididae.
ACAUGGAUUCAGCUAUCUGUGGAGUAGUGCCUUCAAAACAAAUUCUUCACCGGGCUGCAAUCCUUGUCA